CCUACGGGAGGCAGCAGUGAGGAAUCUUGGUCAAUGGGCGCGAGCCUGAACCAGCCAAGUCGCGUGAGGGAAGACGGUCCUAUGGAUUGUAAACCUCUUUUGUCGGGGAGCAAAAGACGCCACGCAUGGCGUUCCGAGAGUACCCGAAGAAAACGCAUCGGCUAACUCCGUUCCCGCAGCCGCGGUAAUACGGAGGAUGCGAGCGUUAUCCGGAUUGAUUGGGUUUAAAGGGUGCGCAGGCGGAAGCUCAAGUCAGCGGUAAAAUUGAGAGGCUCAACCUCGUCGAGCCGUUGAAACUGGGUGUCUUGAGUGAGUGAGAAGUAUGCGGAAUGCGUGGUGUAGCGGUGAAAUGCAUAGAUAUCACGCAGAACUCCGAUUGCGAAGGCAGCAUACCGGCGCUCAACUGACGCUCAUGCACGAAAGUGUGGGUAUCGAACAGGAUUAGAUACCCCGGUAGUC
Molecule: ribosomal RNA, 459 nt
Filed under: uncultured bacterium
Lineage: Bacteria
Description: partial 16S ribosomal RNA
Rfam family: Bacterial small subunit ribosomal RNA
Source: RNAcentral